ACCAGUGUAGUGUAGUGGUUUGAACAUUGGACUGUGACUCUGGAGAGCAGGGUUCGAAUCCUGGCUCAGCCA
Molecule: non-coding RNA, 72 nt
Organism: Phrynosoma platyrhinos (Desert horned lizard)
Lineage: Eukaryota; Metazoa; Chordata; Lepidosauria; Squamata; Phrynosomatidae
Source: the annotation of a GenBank genome assembly